RNAcentral lists this long non-coding RNA (912 nucleotides) under Mytilus galloprovincialis (Mediterranean mussel). The record is from RNAcentral. Lineage: Eukaryota; Metazoa; Mollusca; Bivalvia; Mytilida; Mytilidae.
AUUUUUUUGACAAUUUGCAGACCAUAUGUUAUGGUUUGUUUAGGGUUCCUCAAUGUCAAAAGAUAUCACAUCUACAGAACAUACAAAGUGAUUUAGUUUAAAAUUCAAUGUUGCCCAUUUUUUAAAAGCACGUGUAGUAAUAAUAAAUAAUGCAAUGACCCUAUCUACUAUCCCCACUCUUUUUUUCCUUUUUUUUGGGGGGGGGAGAGACGGUCCCUUGAAAAACUUUUUUCAACUUUCAUAAAAAAAAAUCUUGUUCAAUAAAAUGCAUUUACUGCAGAAAAAAACUUGGGUUUGUCUUAUAAAAGUUAAGAGUCAAAGCAAUUUAUUUGUAUAAAAACAAAAUUCCUCGAUAAAAGAUGACUGUUCAAUGCAUAAAGCUUCAAUCAGAGUUUCCCCAACUUUAAUUAAUUUGUAUAUUCAAAUUAAACAUAUAACCUGUAGAUGUACAUUGUAUUACACAAUGUUUACAUGAUUUUGUUCUUUGGAAAACUUCAAUGUUAAAGGAAAACCCAUUUGAGAGUCUCUUGAAAAAAUUUUACAGUUUGAAUUAAUUGUUUAAGGUGGUACCCAACACUACAGGGAGAUAACUCUGUAAAAUCAGCUAAAUAUUUUAAUCAUGGAAAGAUUAUUAUGAGCUUCUAAAUGAUCUAAAUUAGUCAUGUUAGUGAUUGUCAAACUGCUCUAUAUCCAAUGAAAAAUGAUUGGUUCAAGUUUUUUGAAAAUUUUAUAUUUUUUUCAAACGGUCAAAGUAAAUAUUUUGUCAAAAAUUUUAUGAAAAUUAAACGAGCCAAAUUAAUUUAGUCAAGGUGUUGAAUACCACCUUAAGAUAAUUCAACCAUGAUAUUUUGUGCAGAUACAUGCUUAAUGUUUAAGAACAUAUGUUGACCUUUUGACCUAAGUUAUCAUUUG